RNAcentral lists this ribosomal RNA (500 nucleotides) under uncultured bacterium. RNAcentral describes it as "partial 16S ribosomal RNA". It matches the Rfam family "Bacterial small subunit ribosomal RNA", at positions 30 to 526 of the family's 1533-position model. The record is from RNAcentral.
AUUGAACGCUGGCGGAAUGCUUUACACAUGCAAGUCGAACGGCAGCACGGACUUCGGUCUGGUGGCGAGUGGCGAACGGGUGAGUAAUGUAUCGGAACGUGCCCAGUCGUGGGGGAUAACGUAGUGAAAAUUACGCUAAUACCGCAUACGAUCUAUGGAUGAAAGCGGGGGAUCGCAAGACCUCGCGCGAUUGGAGCGGCCGAUAUCAGAUUAGGUAGUUGGUGGGGUAGAGGCCCACCAAGCCAACGAUCUGUAGCUGGUCUGAGAGGACGACCAGCCACACUGGAACUGAGCCACGGUCCAGACUCCUACGGGAGGCAGCAGUGGGGAAUUUUGGACAAUGGGCGAAAGCCUGAUCCAGCCAUUCCGCGUGCAGGAUGAAGGCCCUCGGGUUGUAAACUGCUUUUGUACAGAACGAAAAGGUUUCUACUAAUACUAGGAGCUCAUGACGGUACUGUAAGAAUAAGCACCGGCUAACUACGUGCCAGCCGCCGUAACAC